AACCCUUGUCCUUAGUUACCUAGCACGUUAUGGUGGGCGACUCUAAGGAGACUGCCGGUGCAAACCGGAGGAAGUGGGGAUGACGUCAAGUCAUCAUGGCCCUUACGGCCUGGGCUACACACGUGCUACAAUGGUCGGUACAAAGGGUUGCCAAGCCGCGAGGUGGAGCUAAUCCCAUAAAACCGAUCGUAGUCCGGAUCGCAGUCUGCAACUCGACUGCGUGAAGUCGGAAUCGCUAGUAAUCGUGAAUCAGAAUGUCACGGUGAAUACGUUCCCGGGCCUU
This 283-nucleotide ribosomal RNA is filed under the name uncultured Pseudomonas sp. Its description in RNAcentral is "partial 16S ribosomal RNA". It matches the Rfam family "Bacterial small subunit ribosomal RNA", at positions 1100 to 1382 of the family's 1533-position model. The record is from RNAcentral. Lineage: Bacteria; Pseudomonadati; Pseudomonadota; Gammaproteobacteria; Pseudomonadales; Pseudomonadaceae.